AUUGAACGCUGGCGGCAGGCCUAACACAUGCAAGUCGAGCGGAUGAAGGGAGCUUGCUCCUGGAUUCAGCGGCGGACGGGUGAGUAAUGCCUAGGAAUCUGCCUGGUAGUGGGGGAUAACGUCCGGAAACGGGCGCUAAUACCGCAUACGUCCCGAGGGAGAAAGUGGGGGAUCUUCGGACCUCACGCUAUCAGAUGAGCCUAGGUCGGAUUAGCUAGUUGGUGGGGUAAAGGCCUACCAAGGCGACGAUCCGUAACUGGUCUGAGAGGAUGAUCAGUCACACAGGAACUGAGACACGGUCCAGACUCCUACGGGAGGCAGCAGUGGGGAAUAUUGGACAAUGGGCGAAAGCCUGAUCCAGCCAUGCCGCGUGUGUGAAGAAGGUCUUCGGAUUGUAAAGCACUUUAAGUUGGGAGGAAGGGCAGUAAGUUAAUACCUUGCUGUUUUGACGUUACCAACAGAAUAAGCACCGGCUAACUUCGUG
Molecule: ribosomal RNA, 484 nt
Filed under: uncultured bacterium
Lineage: Bacteria
Description: partial 16S ribosomal RNA
Rfam family: Bacterial small subunit ribosomal RNA
Source: RNAcentral